This 250-nucleotide ribosomal RNA is filed under the name uncultured bacterium. RNAcentral describes it as "partial 16S ribosomal RNA". It matches the Rfam family "Archaeal small subunit ribosomal RNA", at positions 474 to 723 of the family's 1478-position model. The record is from RNAcentral.
UACCGGCGGCUCGAGUGGUGGCCACUAUUACUGGGCUUAAAGCGUUCGUAGCUGGUUUGUUAAGUCUCUGGGGAAAUCUUCCGGCUUAACCGGAAGGCGUCUCAGGGAUACUGGCAGACUAGGGACCGGGAGAGGUGAGAGGUACUCCAGGGGUAGGAGUGAAAUCCUGUAAUCCUUGGGGGACCACCUGUGGCGAAGGCGUCUCACCAGAACGGCUCCGACAGUGAGGGACGAAAGCUGGGGGAGCAAA